GGAAUAUUGCGCAAUGGGGGAAACCCUGAUCCAGCAAUGCCGCGUGAGCGAUGAAGGCCUUAGGGUUGUAAAGCUCUUUUACCCGAGAUGAUAAUGACCGUAUCGGGAUAAUAAGCCCCGGCUAACUCCGUGCCAGCAGCCGCGGUAAUACGGAGGGGGCUAGCGUUGUUCGGAAUUACUGGGCGUAAAGCGCACGUAGGCGGCUAUCUAAGUCAGAGGUGAAAGCCCGGGGCUCAACCCCGGAACUGCCUUUGAGACUGGAUAGCUAGAAUCUUGGAGAGGCGGGUGGAAUUCCGAGUGUAGAGGUGAAAUUCGUAGAUAUUCGGAAGAACACCAGUGGCGAAGGCGGCCCGCUGGACAAGUAUUGACGCUGAGGUGCGAAAGCGUGGGGAGCAAAC
Molecule: ribosomal RNA, 398 nt
Filed under: uncultured bacterium
Lineage: Bacteria
Description: bacterial SSU rRNA
Rfam family: Bacterial small subunit ribosomal RNA
Source: RNAcentral